RNAcentral lists this ribosomal RNA (454 nucleotides) under Staphylococcus pseudintermedius. Its description in RNAcentral is "partial 23S ribosomal RNA". It matches the Rfam family "Bacterial large subunit ribosomal RNA", at positions 2454 to 2909 of the family's 2925-position model. The record is from RNAcentral. Lineage: Bacteria; Bacillati; Bacillota; Bacilli; Caryophanales; Staphylococcaceae.
GGAUAAAAGCUACCCCGGGGAUAACAGGCUUAUCUCCCCCAAGAGUUCACAUCGACGGGGAGGUUUGGCACCUCGAUGUCGGCUCAUCGCAUCCUGGGGCUGUAGUCGGUCCCAAGGGUUGGGCUGUUCGCCCAUUAAAGCGGUACGCGAGCUGGGUUCAGAACGUCGUGAGACAGUUCGGUCCCUAUCCGUCGUGGGCGUAGGAAAUUUGAGAGGAGCUGUCCUUAGUACGAGAGGACCGGGAUGGACAUACCUCUGGUGUACCAGUUGUCGUGCCAACGGCAUAGCUGGGUAGCUAUGUAUGGACGGGAUAAGUGCUGAAAGCAUCUAAGCAUGAAGCCCCCCUCGAGAUGAGAUUUCCCAACUUCGGUUAUAAGAUCCCUCAAAGAUGAUGAGGUGAAUAGGUUCGAGGUGGAAGCGUAGCGAUACGUGGAGCUGACGAAUACUAAUCGAU